Molecule: ribosomal RNA, 1206 nt
Filed under: Dehalococcoidia bacterium
Lineage: Bacteria; Bacillati; Chloroflexota; Dehalococcoidia
Description: partial 23S ribosomal RNA
Rfam family: Bacterial large subunit ribosomal RNA
Source: RNAcentral
GGUCAAGCUUUUAAGGGCACACGGUGGAUGCCUAGGCGUCUAGAGGCGAUGAAGGGCGUGUCUAGCUGCGAUAAGCUUCGGGGAGCUGCUAAGAGAGCUUUGAUCCGAAGAUUUCCGAAUGAGGAAACUCUUUUCACCGUAAGGUGAAAAAUCCCGAUUUUGAAUACAUAGAUUUCGGGAAGCGAACUCCGGGAACUGAAACAUCUCAUGUACCGGAAGGAAUAUAAAUCAACCGAGAUUCCCCUAGUAGUGGCGAGCGAACGGGGAAGAGCCUAAACCGGCGUCACAUUAAGAAUUUCAUUUGAUGGAAUUUUUAGUGUGACGCCGGGGUUGCGGGACCUCAAUGUGAGACCAAUAAGGAUAGAUUAACGGUGUGGGAAAGCCGGCCAUAGGGCGUGAUAGCCGCGUGAUCGAAAUCCGAGUUGGCUCUAGAGGUAUCCCAAGUACCAUGGGACACGAGAAAUCUCAUGGGAAUCUGGGGAGACCAUUCUCCAAGGCUAAAUACUACUAGACGACCGAUAGUGAACAAGUACCGUGAGGGAAAGGUGGGAAGAACCCCGAAAGGGGAGGUCCGUGAACCUGAAACCGUGUGCCUACAAGCAGUCAGAGCACUAUGGCCGUCGCAAGACGGAUAGGUGUGAUGGCGUGCCUUUUGCAUAAUGAGCCAGUGAGUUACUGUUGCAUGCAAGGUUAAUCUGCUUUGAGCAGAGGAGCCGUAGCGAAAGCGAGUCCUAAUCGGGCGCAUCAGUAUGCGGCUGUAGACCCGACACCAGUUGUGAUCUAUCCAUGACCAGGAUGAAGUCUCGGUAACACGAGAUGGAGGUCCGAACCGGUGGACGAUGAAAAGUCUUCGGAUGAGUUGUGGAUAGGAGUGAAAGGCUAAUCAAACCUGGAGAUAGCUGGUUCUCCUCGAAAUAUAUUUAGGUAUAGUCUCAUGUGAAUACUGUCGGAGGUAGAGCACUGGAUGGACUAGAGGUCUUACCCGACUAUCAAACCCAACCAAACUCCGAAUGCCGACAAGUAAUGCACGGGAAUCAGACCGUAGGGGAUAAGCUCUAUGGUCGAGAGGGAAAAAGCCCAGACCGUCAGCUAAGGUCCCAAAAUAAUGGCUAAGUGGAAAAGGAUGUGGAAGCGCACAGACAACCAGGAGGUUGGCUUAGAAGCAGCCAUCCUUUAAAGAAAGCGUAACAGCUCACUGGUCAAGUG